RNAcentral lists this ribosomal RNA (300 nucleotides) under uncultured Sediminibacterium sp. Its description in RNAcentral is "bacterial SSU rRNA". It matches the Rfam family "Bacterial small subunit ribosomal RNA", at positions 496 to 795 of the family's 1533-position model. Lineage: Bacteria; Pseudomonadati; Bacteroidota; Chitinophagia; Chitinophagales; Chitinophagaceae. The record is from RNAcentral.
GCUAACUCCGUGCCAGCAGCCGCGGUAAUACGGAGGGUGCAAGCGUUAUCCGGAUUCACUGGGUUUAAAGGGUGCGUAGGCGGGCAGAUAAGUCAGUGGUGAAAUCUUCGAGCUUAACUCGGAAACUGCCGUUGAUACUAUUUGUCUUGAAUAUUGUGGAGGUAAGCGGAAUAUGUCAUGUAGCGGUGAAAUGCUUAGAUAUGACAUAGAACACCAAUUGCGAAGGCAGCUUACUACACAAUGAUUGACGCUGAGGCACGAAAGCGUGGGGAUCAAACAGGAUUAGAUACCCUGGUAGUC